Non-coding RNA from Triticum urartu, 125 nucleotides. The record is from Rfam. Lineage: Eukaryota; Viridiplantae; Streptophyta; Magnoliopsida; Poales; Poaceae.
GUUGUACUCCCUCCGUCCGGAAAUACUUGUCAAAGAAAUGGAUACAAAUGGAUGUAUCUAGAACUAAAAUACAUCUAGAUACAUCCAUUCCUUGGAAAAGUAUUUCCGGACGGAGGGAGUAGCUC